Molecule: ribosomal RNA, 497 nt
Filed under: uncultured bacterium
Lineage: Bacteria
Description: partial 16S ribosomal RNA
Rfam family: Bacterial small subunit ribosomal RNA
Source: RNAcentral
GAUGAACGCUGGCGGCGUGCCUAAUACAUGCAAGUCGAGCGAACAGACGAGGAGCUUGCUCCUCUGACGUUAGCGGCGGACGGGUGAGUAACACGUGGAUAACCUACCUAUAAGACUGGGAUAACUUCGGGAAACCGGAGCUAAUACCGGAUAAUAUAUUGAACCGCAUGGUUCAAUAGUGAAAGACGGUUUUGCGGUCACUUAUAGAUGGAUCCGCGCCGCAUUAGCUAGUUGGUAAGGUAACGGCUUACCAAGGCAACGAUGCGUAGCCGACCUGAGAGGGUGAUAGGCCACACUGGAACUGAGACACGGUCCAGACUCCUACGGGAGGCAGCAGUAGGGAAUCUGCCGCAAUGGGCGAAAGCCUGACGGAGCAACGCCGAGUGAGUGAUGAAGGUCUUCGGAUCGUAAAACUCUGUUAUUAGGGAAGAACAAAUGUGUAAGUAAAUAUGCACGUCUUGACGGUACCUAAUCAGAAAGCCACGGCUAACUACGUG